AUUGUUCCUCAGCCUUUCGGCUAAGAUCUAGUAUCUGUUCUCAUCAGUUAAAUAUCUGAUAUGUCCUCUACCCGAGGACAAUAUAUUAAAUGGAUUUUUGGGACAGGGAGUUGGAAUCUGUUUAUAUUCCUACAUGGAAAGAUGAUAUUUGUAUCUCAUGAGACCUUUGUCAUGAUUA
This 178-nucleotide small nuclear RNA is filed under the name Vombatus ursinus (common wombat). RNAcentral's name for it is "U2 spliceosomal RNA (ENSVURG00010001461.1)". It matches the Rfam family "U2 spliceosomal RNA". Rfam says of the family: U2 is a small nuclear RNA (snRNA) component of the spliceosome (involved in pre-mRNA splicing). Complementary binding between U2 snRNA (in an area lying towards the 5' end but 3' to hairpin I) and the branchpoint sequence (BPS) of the intron results the bulging out of an unpaired adenosine, on the BPS, which initiates a nucleophilic attack at the intronic 5' splice site, thus starting the first of two transesterification reactions that mediate splicing. Lineage: Eukaryota; Metazoa; Chordata; Mammalia; Diprotodontia; Vombatidae. The record is from RNAcentral.